Molecule: unclassified non-coding RNA, 200 nt
Filed under: soil metagenome
Description: partial contains internal transcribed spacer 2 and large subunit ribosomal RNA
Source: RNAcentral
AUCUGAGGGCUUUGUCGGACUCCUUAAACCGAGGUCGACUCCCUUUAAAUUUAUUAGCGGAUUUUGCCAUCGUGGAUACGCCUCGAUUUGAUAAUAUCUAUGUCGUCGCGCUGAAGCGGUAAUCUGCUCCUAAUCGUCUUUGGACAAACAUAACUUGACCAUUUGACCUCAAAUCAGGUAGGACUACCCGCUGAACUUAA